CGAAAGCCUGACGCAGCGACGCCGCGUGGAGGAUGAAGGUCUUCGGAUUGUAAACUCCUGUCAGAGGUGAAGAAAGCCCUUCGGGGUCUGACGGUAACCUCAGAGGAAGCCCCGGCUAACUACGUGCCAGCAGCCGCGGUAAUACGUAGGGGGCAAACGUUGCUCGGAAUUACUGGGCGUAAAGGGUGAGCAGGUGGCUGAGAAAGUCGUUGAUGAAAUCCCCGGGCUUACCCCCGGAACUGUCUUCGAAACUUCUCAGCUUGAGGAUAGUCGAGGAGAACGGAAUUCCCGGUGGAGCGGUGAAAUGCGUAGAUAUCGGGAGGAACACCAGAGGCGAAGGCGGCUUUCUGAGCUAUUCCUGACGCUGAGACACGAAAGCUAGGGGAGCA
Molecule: ribosomal RNA, 389 nt
Filed under: uncultured bacterium
Lineage: Bacteria
Description: bacterial SSU rRNA
Rfam family: Bacterial small subunit ribosomal RNA
Source: RNAcentral